Molecule: transfer RNA, 75 nt
Filed under: Clostridia bacterium
Lineage: Bacteria; Bacillati; Bacillota; Clostridia
Also listed under: 1 other name
Description: tRNA-Arg
Rfam family: tRNA
About the family: Transfer RNA (tRNA) molecules are approximately 80 nucleotides in length. Their secondary structure includes four short double-helical elements and three loops (D, anti-codon, and T loops).
Source: RNAcentral
GCCCCUGUAGUUAAGUGGAUAUAACAAGUCCCUCCUAAGGAUUAGUCACGCGUUCGACUCGCGUCGGGGGUGCCA